Molecule: ribosomal RNA, 317 nt
Filed under: uncultured bacterium
Lineage: Bacteria
Description: bacterial SSU rRNA
Rfam family: Bacterial small subunit ribosomal RNA
Source: RNAcentral
GAUGAACGCUAGCUACAGGCUUAACACAUGCAAGUCGAGGGGUAACGACAGCGAAAGCUUGCUUUUGCUGGGCGACGACCGGCGCACGGGUGAGUAACGCGUAUCCAACCUGCCCAUAACUAAGGGAUAAUCCGUAGAAAUGCGGUCUAAUACCUUAUGUGUUCCGACGAAGACAUCUGAAUUGGAAUAAAGAUUUAUCGGUUAUGGAUGGGGAUGCGUCUGAUUAGAUUGUUGGCGGGGCAACGGCCCACCAAGUCUACGAUCAGUAGGGGUUCUGAGAGGAAGGUUCCCCACAUUGGAACUGAGACACGGUCCAA